Molecule: non-coding RNA, 113 nt
Filed under: Cryptobacterium curtum
Lineage: Bacteria; Bacillati; Actinomycetota; Coriobacteriia; Eggerthellales; Eggerthellaceae
Also listed under: 1 other name
Source: RNAcentral
ACGUUAAAGCGUGCUUGGGGAAAUGCGGGUGAAAAUCCCGCGCUAUGCCAGUAACCGUAAACCUUCUUCGGCAUUACUGCGUCUGAAGGAAAAGUCGGAAUGCCCGCCACCGC